ACAAAAAUAACUAAACUGAAAUUUAGCUGGAAGCCUGGCUCCUCAUUUGUCAUAAACCCUGCUGUUGGUGAUAGCUGACAAAGACCCUAAUGCCGAACGGGGUUGAGGUUCCCUUCCUGACCUCACCUUUCUUUCUGAAUGGAAACAAGAGCCUUGGAAACAAACCAGAAUGCUUUAAGAUCUGCGAUGAUUAAGAACACCUGUGGCAACACCAAACAGAGCCCACAAACAUCGUGCUGAUGAGCAAGGACUAGGGAAGAAGAUGCUCAAGAAACAUCCAUGAAAACAACCAGGAGGGCUUUGAGAGAAUGCGGAGCUGGAGCUCGGAUCUUCCUUUCUGAAAAGCAUGAGAAAACCCAGAAGGCUCUGUCUUAAGAUAAAAAGACCAGGGACUUUCUAGGGGUCAUAAGGUUAACUUAUAACAGUCUUUGACAUCUGGAAAAUGAAAAGUAAACACCUGCAGUUCUCCAGUAGCAGCUAUAUGUUACAUGACAAAAAUGAGACACC
This 507-nucleotide long non-coding RNA is filed under the name Homo sapiens (human). RNAcentral's name for it is "HSALNT0320523". Lineage: Eukaryota; Metazoa; Chordata; Mammalia; Primates; Hominidae. The record is from RNAcentral.